CCCUCGAUAGCUCAAUUGGGAGAGCGCAAGACUGUAAUUGGAAAUCAUCUUGAGGUCGCUAGUUCGAUCCUGGCUCGAGGGA
Transfer RNA from Stereum hirsutum FP-91666 SS1, 82 nucleotides. It matches the Rfam family "tRNA". Rfam says of the family: Transfer RNA (tRNA) molecules are approximately 80 nucleotides in length. Their secondary structure includes four short double-helical elements and three loops (D, anti-codon, and T loops). The record is from Rfam. Lineage: Eukaryota; Fungi; Basidiomycota; Agaricomycetes; Russulales; Stereaceae.